RNAcentral lists this ribosomal RNA (254 nucleotides) under uncultured bacterium. Its description in RNAcentral is "partial 16S ribosomal RNA". It matches the Rfam family "Bacterial small subunit ribosomal RNA", at positions 524 to 776 of the family's 1533-position model. The record is from RNAcentral.
UACGUAGGGUGCAAGCGUUUGUCCGGAAUUAUUGGGCGUAAAGGGCUCGUAGGCGGUCCAUCGCGUCGGGAGUGAAAAGCUGGGGCUCAACCCCAGUCCUGCUUCCGAUACGGGUGGACUAGAGGUAGGCAGGGGAGAACGGAAUUCCUGGUGUAGCGGUGAAAUGCGCAGAUAUCAGGAGGAACACCGGUGGUGUAGACGGCUCUCUGGACCGUAACUGACGCUGAGACACGAAAGCGUGGGUAGCAAACAGG